UGAGGGGGUGUGUUAGAGAUACUAUAGAGAGAUACUCGGGAUACUAAUCCCUUCUGUUAUGGCAACAUAGUUAAUACGUUAACCUAGAGACCUCCUCUCUAUUCAUGUAUAUAUAGGCAAUUGCGUUGUACUGUUAAGAUAUGCAAAUACAUAUUCUCUACAUAACCUUUGUCUUCCGAUGGUAAUGCUAUAUCUCCAACGAAAGAGCCCACUGACAAAAAUUCACCGGCGAUCCCAAAACCUCCACCACGGUCACUCCUCCUCUGGCGACUCCAUCACCACCAGAACCUUUUUCCUCACCACCUCCACCAUCGGAGCUCCUCCUCCUACUCUUUUAUCACCUGAUAAGCUGCAACCAGAAAUAUCUCCUCCCCCUACUCCCACAUCACCUGCCUAGCCGUUUAUCCUACCACCACCAUGACCUUGAGAUCUUUCCCCCCUCCCCAUCCACAACAUGAUCAACCUUCCAUUUCACCACCAUCACUUCCACCAUCAGAAAUAUCUCCUCCACCACCAUCAUCAAAAAGUUGAGAUAAAAAAGAAGAGGCUUCGGGUUAGAAAAGAUGCUAUGUAAUUAGGGUUUCAGAAUGUAAGUUUAGAAGGUUUCAACUCUUGUUGGGAAUUAAAUUAUUUCAGAUAAGCAAUGAACUCAGGUUUGAUUAGUUCACUAAAUCCUUAAAACAAUUCUUGGUGUGAAUAAACAUUUAACUCAUCUAAGUUCAGUUCCAGAAAUAGAUACUAUCGUGUGUCAUAAUUAUCCUAAGAUCUGGAUUCAGAGUGAUUAAUCGAGAAACU
RNAcentral lists this long non-coding RNA (795 nucleotides) under Brassica napus (rape). RNAcentral describes it as "long non-coding RNA (BNAP_LNC009557)". Lineage: Eukaryota; Viridiplantae; Streptophyta; Magnoliopsida; Brassicales; Brassicaceae. The record is from RNAcentral.